AGACGGGUGAGUAACACGUGGGAACGUACCCUUUGGUUCGGAAUAACCCUGGGAAACUAGGGCUAAUACCGGAUAUCUCCGGGAGGAGAAAGGUUUACCGCCGAAGGAGCGGCCCGCGUCCGAUUAGCUAGUUGGUGGGGUAACGGCUCACCAAGGCGACGAUCGGUAGCUGGUCUGAGAGGACGAUCAGCCACACUGGGAUUGAGAACGGCCCAG
This 216-nucleotide ribosomal RNA is filed under the name uncultured bacterium. RNAcentral's name for it is "partial 16S ribosomal RNA". It matches the Rfam family "Bacterial small subunit ribosomal RNA", at positions 102 to 334 of the family's 1533-position model. The record is from RNAcentral.